Long non-coding RNA from Panicum virgatum (switchgrass), 2580 nucleotides. RefSeq lists it as uncharacterized. The transcript is spliced from 2 exons. The record is from RefSeq and is a predicted model, not a curated record. NCBI's taxonomy places the organism in Eukaryota, Viridiplantae, Streptophyta, Magnoliopsida, Poales, Poaceae.
CCCUCGCCUCUGCUUCCACCCUUCCUCCUCUUCCUCCGCGCUUGCCCCUGCCUCCUCCUCCGCCGCCGCCACCGCCCGUCCCCUGCUUUCUCCUCCCUCGCCAGCACCGCGCGGAAGGGAGCGGUUGGCGGGAGCAGCAGCCCUGCGCGGAGGGAGACCGGCGGCCCAAAGAAUCCAGGGAGGGAGGAGGUAGUGAGCAGAGGAGAGAGGAGCAGGGGAGGGCAGAUCAGCGACUGCGAGGGGCGGAGGGGAGCGGCCCCAGCAUGAGCAGUAGCCCCGCGCGGGGGAGACCGGCAGCCCUGUGCGGAGGGAGACCGGCGGAGGUGCUCCGCCCGCCUACCCCCUAGGCGAGGCGGUACCCCGCCGCCUAGCGCAUAAGCGCGCCUGGGCAAGCGCGGAAUAGCGCCUUGUGGAACACUGUAACAGUCACAGUUAAAUUAGUUCCAAGGUCAUCGUCACUUGAGCCGUUAGAUGGUGAUUGCUGCAAUUUAGCUUUCAUUGCCCUGUACUUCUCUCCACGAGUUUAGAUUGUUUCAAACGGGUGUCUCAUCUUUUUCAAAUAACAUAUAUGUGUAAGUUAAAGCAUUGAAUACUGCACGCUUUUGCGAAGCUACUUCAACUCUGGACCUCACACUUUCCAUACUUAAACUCUGGGCCUUUAGCAUUAUGGUCAGUAUCAAACUCAAUCAUUGUUGCUAAGGCAUCAUAUUUGAUUAUUAGUAUCUUACAUGUAUGUAUUGCUUGGUACAUUUUCAUCAAUCUUACAUGUGGCUCCAAUAUCUUUUGUUUCUUUACUAGUUAUUAUUAGUUUAUUACAAUUCCCAGUUCUAUUCUCAUUUAAUUUAUCAUAUUGUCAUCUUGUUCCCUUUUUUGUUCAAAAUAUAAAAGUUGGCUUAGAUGUCUUCUAAUGUUUACUAGUUACAAUGCCUAGGAACAUUCUCAUUCAUUUUGCUGCUCUACUUGUGAUGGCUUGACAUGUUUUUUUCCUUUUGCAGACCAGCGCAAGGCAAUGACUAAGGCCAUGGAUGCAACUCAACCAGGGUGGCACUAUUUCUCAUUAUUUGCUAGCCAUUUAAUUGUGCCAAUAUGUGGUGGAUCCUCAUAAACUGUAAUAUGCGGUGCCUCGUUAUGGAACUGUAUUAUGUCAGGCUAUUGCAUCGGCUGUUGACCUGAUCAUUGUACCAGUGGAAGACUUUUAACUGAUAUCACAGUACUAUGUUUAUUUGUCAGGCUGUUGCAUCGACUUGUUGACUUGUACCAACGCAAGACUAUAACUAGUUUUUACCUAGGUGCUACUGAAAUGAACUGCAGUGUCAUGCCUAGUGUGCCUGUUACUUUCCUUCUGCAAAUUUUUAUGUAUGCUGAUCAGCAUAAGGUAAACAAACGGUUUUAUAUUAUAGUUUUCAUUUUACUGUACAAACUCUGAUAGGUACAAAUCAAGGAAUUUCAAUAAUCAGAUGCUGCCUUACCCUUUUCAGGUUAGAAUAUUUGGUUCUGACCUCUUCUCCUUUAUCGGUCUUUCAGAUUUAACGAGUUGCUGAUAAUGGUAGAUGCUUGCCAAGCUGCUAUUCUGUUUUCACAUGUUUGUUUCACUGCUUCAUUCACCUGGUGUUUUGGCGAUUGGUAGCAGCAUGAAGUUGAUAACUCCUAUCAUCAGCAUCUUGACUGAGAGAGAGAGAGAGACCACUACCGAAGGGCAGAGGGACAGCGAGCGGCAGGCGACGACGAACUGAAAGUGCGGUCCAAAGAACAGACGGCGGUGAGCUGCAAGUGGGGCCGAACAACAGAGCGCCGCAAAAGAAAGUGGAACUGCAAGUGGACCCCGAGCUAACAUCCUGCCUGGGUAGUGAGGCAAAAACUGGGGGGACGGUCAACAACUCCAAUCGAGCCAGGCACUCCGAGCACAAAUGUUAAAGCGAGAUGUGCGGUCCUAGAUAAGAUGUGCGCGCCCUUACGGGCGUGGUGUUGACCCAGAGCUAACAUCCUGCCUGGGUAGUGAGGCAAAAACUGGUGGGACGGUCAACAACGCCAAUCGAGCCAGGCACUCCGAGCACGAAUGUUAAAGCAAGAUGUGCGGUCCUAGAUAAGAUGUGCGCGCCCUUACGGGCGUGGUGUUGAUUUUUCGGGUGCGUCGCUCUAUUGUUCUUUGUUUGUUUCUUCCAUUUGAUGUGAGCUGAUCUACUUGUCUUUGCUGUCAUUUUGUGGUGACAAGGAUGCAUAGUUGCACCCAAAAAAAAGGAAAUGUGAGGAAAAGAGAAGUCAAGAAUAAAGAAAAUAGUAUACUGUAUCAAGGGUGGUGAGCAUCUGCCCCUUGGAUGCACGCAUUUGAGCAGUGAAUUGAAGUUAUCAACACUAACCUCUGCUAGCAGACUCUUGAUCAACUCAAGAUGUCGUUUUAAUUUGAAGAAACGUUGGUGUAGCUUGAAUGAUCAAGAUUCAUGCAUAAUCUUGUAACCUAGUUGAUACAUUAGUGGCAACUGCUGAAUAAUGUAGAUCAGGGAGUUAUUUGUUUUGAAACCGCAUCAGGCAGCCUUUUUGGUAAUGAAGCCCUUAAUGUGAUUCUGGUUGUUAGGCAACCUA